UACGUAGGGUGCGAGCGUUGUCCGGAAUUAUUGGGCGUAAAGAGCUUGUAGGCGGUUUUGUCGCGUCUGCCGUGGAAAUUCGAGGCUCAACCUCGAACUUGCGGUGGGUACGGGCAGACUGGAGUACUGCAGGGGAGACUGGAAUUCCUGGUGUAGCGGUGGAAUGCGCAGGAUAUCAGGAGGAACACCGGUGGCGAAGGCGGGUCUCUGGGCAGUAACUGACGCUGAGGAGCGAAAGCGUGGGGAGCGAACAGG
Molecule: ribosomal RNA, 255 nt
Filed under: uncultured bacterium
Lineage: Bacteria
Description: partial 16S ribosomal RNA
Rfam family: Bacterial small subunit ribosomal RNA
Source: RNAcentral